RNAcentral lists this ribosomal RNA (500 nucleotides) under uncultured bacterium. RNAcentral describes it as "partial 16S ribosomal RNA". It matches the Rfam family "Bacterial small subunit ribosomal RNA", at positions 30 to 523 of the family's 1533-position model. The record is from RNAcentral.
AUUGAACGCUGGCGGAAUGCUUUACACAUGCAAGUCGAACGGCAGCACGGACUUCGGUCUGGUGGCGAGUGGCGAACGGGUGAGUAAUGUAUCGGAACGUGCCCAGUCGUGGGGGAUAACGUAGUGAAAAUUACGCUAAUACCGCAUACGAUCUAUGGAUGAAAGCGGGGGAUCGCAAGACCUCGCGCGAUUGGAGCGGCCGAUAUCAGAUUAGGUAGUUGGUGGGGUAAAGGCCCACCAAGCCAACGAUCUGUAGCUGGGCUGAGAGGACGACCAGCCAAACUGGAACUGAGACACGGUCCAGACUCCUACGGGAGGCAGCAGUGGGAAAUUUUGGACAAUGGGCGAAAGCCUGAUCCAGCCAUUCCGCGUGCAGGAUGAAGGCCCUCGGGUUGUAAACUGCUUUUGUACAGAACGAAAAGGUUUCUACUAAUACUAGGAGCUCAUGACGGUACUGUAAGAAUAAGCACCGGCUAACUACGUGCCAGCCGCCGCAGUAA